This 151-nucleotide non-coding RNA is filed under the name Candidatus Kuenenia stuttgartensis. Lineage: Bacteria; Pseudomonadati; Planctomycetota; Candidatus Brocadiia; Candidatus Brocadiales; Candidatus Brocadiaceae. The record is from RNAcentral.
GAAAGCCGUGUGCGGGAAAAUCGCAUGCACGGUUUGACGAGGGGCAGGUGAUAAGUAUAUGGCGGAGAUAUGGUGGCACUGGCGGGAAACCAGCCAGCAAACAGAGAAAACAAACUUCUGCCUAAGUUCUCGUCGUCUGUUUCUACUCUAC